CGGGCGGUAGCGCAGUCUGGUAGCGCACGUGCUUUGGGAGCAUGAGGCCGCUGGUUCGAAUCCAGUCCGCCCGA
This 74-nucleotide transfer RNA is filed under the name Planctomycetota bacterium. RNAcentral's name for it is "Planctomycetes bacterium (marine metagenome) tRNA-Pro". It matches the Rfam family "tRNA". From Rfam's summary of the family: Transfer RNA (tRNA) molecules are approximately 80 nucleotides in length. Their secondary structure includes four short double-helical elements and three loops (D, anti-codon, and T loops). Further hydrogen bonds mediate the characteristic L-shaped molecular structure. tRNAs have two regions of fundamental functional importance: the anti-codon, which is responsible for specific mRNA codon recognition, and the 3' end, to which the tRNAs corresponding amino acid is attached (by aminoacyl-tRNA synthetases). tRNAs cope with the degeneracy of the genetic code in two manners: having more than one tRNA (with a specific anti-codon) for a particular amino acid; and 'wobble' base-pairing, i.e. permitting non-standard base-pairing at the 3rd anti-codon position. The record is from RNAcentral. Lineage: Bacteria; Pseudomonadati; Planctomycetota.